UACGUAGGGGGCAAGCGUUGUCCGGAUUUACUGGGCGUAAAGAGCGUGUAGGCGGCCACGCAGGUCCGUUGUGAAAACUGGAGGCUCAACCUCCAGCUGUCGACGGAAACCGUGUGGCUAGAGUCCGGAAGAGGAGAGUGGAAUUCCUGGUGUAGCGGUGAAAUGCGUAGAGAUCAUGAGGAAGACCAGUGGCGAAGGCGGGUCUCUGGACAGUUCCUGACACUGAGACACGAAGGCCAGGGGAGCAAACGGG
Molecule: ribosomal RNA, 253 nt
Filed under: uncultured bacterium
Lineage: Bacteria
Description: partial 16S ribosomal RNA
Rfam family: Bacterial small subunit ribosomal RNA
Source: RNAcentral